CGGAGGAUCCAAGCGUUAUCCGGAAUCAUUGGGUUUAAAGGGUCCGUAGGCGGUUUGAUAAGUCAGUGGUGAAAGCCCAUCGCUCAACGAUGGAACGGCCAUUGAUACUGUCAGACUUGAAUUACUGGGAAGUAACUAGAAUAUGUAGUGUAGCGGUGAAAUGCUUAGAUAUUACAUGGAAUACCAAUUGCGAAGGCAGGUUACUACCAGUGGAUUGACGCUGAUGGACGAAAGCGUGGGGAGCGAACAGGAUUAGAUACCCUGGUAGUCCACGCCGUAAACGAUGGAUACUAGCUGUUCGUAGCAAUCUGAGUGGCUAAGCGAAAGUGAUAAGUAUCCCACCUGGGGAGUACGUUCGCAAGAAUG
Molecule: ribosomal RNA, 366 nt
Filed under: uncultured organism
Description: bacterial SSU rRNA
Rfam family: Bacterial small subunit ribosomal RNA
Source: RNAcentral